GCCGGCAUCACGUUGAAGCAGGCCGCACUAGAACACUCUAAUAAUCCUCCAUUAUUUACGCAUCGUCAUCCUCCUCCUCUUAAUCAUCCUCUUAAUCAUUCUUUUUUAAUUGUAAUCUCCGUCUCAUUAUUUUAAAAAAAAGUUAUUACUCCAUGUUCUCUCAAUAAUUGUAAACCCCUCUGAAUUUAUCACCUUCUCAUGAACAAUUUUACUUAUUCUCCAGAGCCGGUUUUGAGGUAGAUAUUAUGGCAUAUGAUCAAACCCUCCAAGUGCGGUCUAUUACUACUGCAGAUGUUUCUCUUGGGCAGCAUGUCAAACCAGUUUCAGAUGCUACAACUUCAGAGAAUUUGAAUGGUUAUUUUGAUUGUAAUAUAUGUUUAGACACAGCACGUGAUCCUGUCGUUACGCUCUGCGGUCAUUUGUACUGCUGGCCUUGCAUUUAUAAGUGGCUUCAUGUCGUACGCUCUUCCCUGGAAUCAGAUAAGCAACCAGAUUGCCCUGUCUGUAAGGCUAGAAUCUCAGAGACCUCACUAGUUCCAUUGUAUGGUCGGGGUGAUACACGUUCUGAUCCGGAUGCAAAACAGCCCCUACCCCGUAGACCUCCUGGUGUUAGGGCGGAAACAAUGGCACAGGAGCAAUCUCAGUCUAGUCCUCUUGAGCCACAUCAGCAGCCAUUUCAUCCCCAGCAUUACUUUUCUCAUCCUCUGGCCAACUACCCCACCUUGUCUCCUCCAAAUAUUGUGACUGCUGGCAUGAUCAGUCCUACUGUUGGGAUGUUCGGGGAGAUGGUCUACGCUAGGAUAUUUGGUAGCUCAGACACAAGCUUAUUUUCUUAUCCGCAUGCUUAUCCUCUUGUUCAUAAUAGCAGCCCGAACCCGAGAAUAAGAAGGCAAGAACUGCAGGUAGACAAGUCCCUCAGCAGAGUAUCUAUGUUUCUUUUGUGCUGCUUAAUUCUGUGCCUUCUUUUAUUUUGAAAGGUAUAUUGGGUGGCUGUACAGCGUACAUGUACAUUAUUGCCUCAUUGACACUUGUGAACACAAGUAUAAUCUUUGCAGUAUUGCAGGAAAUAUAUCCUAUGAAAUAUGCUCUAAUUUUCAACUUUAUUAAAA
This is an RNA transcript of Daucus carota subsp. sativus, 1109 nucleotides long. RefSeq lists it as uncharacterized. The record is from RefSeq and is a predicted model, not a curated record. The transcript is spliced from 2 exons. Lineage: Eukaryota; Viridiplantae; Streptophyta; Magnoliopsida; Apiales; Apiaceae.